ACGGGAGGCAGCAGUGGGGAAUAUUGGGCAAUGGGCGCAAGCCUGACCCAGCAACGCCGUGUGAAGGAAGAAGGUCUUCGGAUUGUAAACUUUUGUCUUAUGGGACGAUAAUGACGGUACCAUAGGAGGAAGUCACGACUAACUACGUGCCAGCAGUCGCGGUAAUACGUAGGUGACAAGCGUUAUCCGGAAUUAUUGGGUGUAAAGGGUGCGUAGGCGGGCUGUAAAGUCAGAUGUGAAAUACCGGGGCUCAACCCCGGAGCUGCAUUUGAAACUGCGGUUCUUGAGUGAAGUAGAGGUAAGCGGAAUUCCUAGUGUAGCGGUGAAAUGCGUAGAUAUUAGGAGGAACAUCAGUGGCGAAGGCGGCUUACUGGGCUUUAACUGACGCUGAGGCUCGAAAGCGUGGGGAGCAAACAGGAUUAGAUACCCUGGUA
Molecule: ribosomal RNA, 434 nt
Filed under: uncultured Oscillospiraceae bacterium
Lineage: Bacteria; Bacillati; Bacillota; Clostridia; Eubacteriales; Oscillospiraceae
Description: partial 16S ribosomal RNA
Rfam family: Bacterial small subunit ribosomal RNA
Source: RNAcentral